RNAcentral lists this ribosomal RNA (739 nucleotides) under uncultured bacterium. Its description in RNAcentral is "bacterial SSU rRNA". It matches the Rfam family "Bacterial small subunit ribosomal RNA", at positions 28 to 756 of the family's 1533-position model. The record is from RNAcentral.
GAUGAACGCUAGCUACCCGUUUAACACAUGCAAGUCGAGGGGCAGCAUGGUCUUAGCUUGCUAAGGCCGAUGGCGACCGGCGCACGGGUGAGUAACACGUAUCCAACCUGCCGUCUACUCUUGGACAGCCUUCUGAAAGGAAGAUUAAUACAAGAUGGCAUCAUGAGUCCGCAUGUUCACAUGAUUAAAGGUAUUCCGGUAGACGAUGGGGAUGCGUUCCAUUAGAUAGUAGGCGGGGUAACGGCCCACCUAGUCUUCGAUGGAUAGGGGUUCUGAGAGGAAGGUCCCCCACAUUGGAACUGAGACACGGUCCAAACUCCUACGGGAGGCAGCAGUGAGGAAUAUUGGUCAAUGGGCGAGAGCCUGAACCAGCCAAGUAGCGUGAAGGAUGACUGCCCUAUGGGUUGUAAACUUCUUUUAUAAAGGAAUAAAGUCGGGUAUGGAUACCCGUUUGCAUGUACUUUAUGAAUAAGGAUCGGCUAACUCCGUGCCAGCAGCCGCGGUAAUACGGAGGAUCCGAGCGUUAUCCGGAUUUAUUGGGUUUAAAGGGAGCGUAGAUGGAUGUUUAAGUCAGUUGUGAAAGUUUGCGGCUCAACCGUAAAAUUGCAGUUGAUACUGGAUAUCUUGAGUGCAGUUGAGGCAGGCGGAAUUCGUGGUGUAGCGGUGAAAUGCUUAGAUAUCACGAAGAACUCCGAUUGCGAAGGCAGCCUGCUAAGCUGCAACUGACACUGAGGCUCGA